UUAGUAGGGAGACAGAGGUUAGUAGGGAGACAGAGGUUAGUAGGGUUACAGAGGUUAGUAGGGAGACAGAGGUUAGUGGGGAGCAUUAAUAGUGGGGACGCAGAGGUUUGUAGGGAGACAGAGGUUGGUAGACAGACAGAGGUUAGUAGGGAGACAGAGGUUGUAGGGAGAGAGAGGGUAGUAGGGAGACAGAGGCUAGUAGGGAGACAGAGGUUAGUAGGGAGACAGAGGUUAGUAGGGAGACAGAGGUUAGUAGGGAGACAGAGGCUAGUAGGGAGACAGAGGUUAGUAGAGAGACAAUAGUGGGGAGACAGAGGUUGGUAGGGAGACAGAGGUUGGUAGGGAGACAGAGGUUAGUGGGGAGCCAGAGGUUAGUAGGGAGACAGAGGUUAGUAGGGAGGCAGAGGUUAGUAGGGAGGCAGAGGGUAGUAGGGAGGCAGAGGUUUGUAGGAGACAGAGGUUGGUAGAGAGACAGAGGUUAGUAGGGACACAGAGGUUUGUAGGGAGACAGAGGUUAGUAGGGAGACAGACGGAGGUUUGGGAGACAGAGGUUAGUAGGGAGACAGAGGUUGGUAGUGAGACAGAGGUUAGUAUGGAGACAGAGUUUGGUAGGGAGACAGAGGUUUGUAGGGAGUCGGAGGUUGGUAGGGAGACAGAGGUUUAGUAUGGAGUCGGAGGUUCGUAGGGAGUCGGAGGUUAAUGUUGAGUUGGAGGUUAAUAGGGAGUCGGAGGUUAGUAGGGAGUCGGAGGUUAGUAGAGAGACAUAAUAGUGGGGAGACAGAGGUUAGUAGGGAGUCGGAGGUUAGUAGAGAGACAGAGGUUCGUAGGGAGACAGAGGUUGGUAGGGGGUCGGAGGUUAGUAGAGAGACAUAAUAGUGGGGAGACAGAGGUUGGUAGGGAAACAGAGGUUAGUGGGGAGCCAGAGGUUAGUAGGGAGACAGAGGUUAGUAGGGAGGCAGAGGUUAGUAGGGAGGCAGAGGUUAGUAGGGAGGCAGAGGUUAGUAUGGAGACAGAGUUUGGUAGGGAGACAGAGGGUAGUGGGGAGCCAGAGGUUAGUAGGGAGACAGAGGUUAGUAGGGAGGCAGAGGUUGGUAGGGAGACAGAGGUUGGUAGGGAGACAGAGGUUAGUGGGGAGCCAGAGGUUAGUAGGGAGACAGAGGUUAGUAGGGAGGCAGAGGUUGGUAGGGAGACAGAGGUUAGUGGGGAGCCAGAGGUUAGUAGGGAGACAGAGGUUAGUAGGGAGGCAGAGGUUAGUAGGGAGGCAGAGGUUAGUAGGGAGGCAGAGGUUAGUAGGGAGACAGAGGUUAUUAGGGAGGCAGAGGUUAGUAGAGAGACAGAGGUUAGUAGGGAGACAGAGGGUAGUAGGGAGACAGAGGUUAGUAGAGAGACAUAAUAGCUGGGAGACAGAGGUUGGUAGGGAGACAGAGGUUAGUAGGGAGACAUAAUAUUGGGGAGACAGAGGUUGGUUGUGAGACAGAGGUUAGUAUGGAGACAGAGUUUGGUAGGGAGACAGAGGUUGGUAGGGAGACAGAGGUUGGUAGGGAGACAGAGGUUAGUAGGGAGACAGAG
Long non-coding RNA from Oncorhynchus tshawytscha (Chinook salmon), 1569 nucleotides. NCBI's taxonomy places the organism in Eukaryota, Metazoa, Chordata, Actinopteri, Salmoniformes, Salmonidae. The record is from Ensembl.